This 337-nucleotide ribosomal RNA is filed under the name Mantidactylus grubenmanni. Its description in RNAcentral is "partial 16S ribosomal RNA". It matches the Rfam family "Bacterial large subunit ribosomal RNA", at positions 2014 to 2516 of the family's 2925-position model. The record is from RNAcentral. Lineage: Eukaryota; Metazoa; Chordata; Amphibia; Anura; Mantellidae.
UACUGUCUCCUUUUUCUAAUCAGUGAAACUAAUCUCCCCGUGAAGAAGCGGGGAUAUUUUUAUAAGACGAGAAGACCCCAUGGAGCUUUAAACCCAACUACACCCUUGACCCCCAUAACCCCUUAACUCACAAGGUUCUGAAUAGUUGGUUUUAGGUUGGGGCGACCACGGAGAAUAACAAAACCUCCACAAUGAAUGGGGUAUUUCCCCUCAUCUAAGAAUUACAACUCCNAGAAUUAGUACACUAACAUAAAUGAUCCAUUUAAAUGAUCAAUGAACCAAGUUACCCUGGGGAUAACAGCGCAAUCCAUUUCAAGAGCUCCUAUCNACAAAUGGG